Molecule: ribosomal RNA, 201 nt
Filed under: uncultured bacterium
Lineage: Bacteria
Description: partial 16S ribosomal RNA
Rfam family: Bacterial small subunit ribosomal RNA
Source: RNAcentral
AGUCUGCAACUCGACUACAUGAAGCUGGAAUCGCUAGUAAUCGCGGAUCAGAAUGCCGCGGUGAAUACGUUCCCGGGUCUUGUACACACCGCCCGUCACACCAUGGGAGUCAGUAACGCCCGAAGCCGGUGACCCAACCUAUUCUGGAGGGAGCCGUCGAAGGCGGGACGGAUGACUGGGGUGAAGUCGUAACAAGGUAGC